Small nuclear RNA from Crocodylus porosus (Australian saltwater crocodile), 159 nucleotides. Its record names the gene U1. It matches the Rfam family "U1 spliceosomal RNA". Rfam says of the family: U1 is a small nuclear RNA (snRNA) component of the spliceosome (involved in pre-mRNA splicing). Its 5' end forms complementary base pairs with the 5' splice junction, thus defining the 5' donor site of an intron. Lineage: Eukaryota; Metazoa; Chordata; Crocodylia; Crocodylidae. The record is from Ensembl.
UUCCUGGCCUGUGCUGAGGUGAGAUAUCAUGAUUACCAAGGGUGAGGCCUGUCUCUUUUAUUCUGGGGGUACAAGAGACCCCUGCAAGUUUCCCCAAAUGCAAGAAACUUGACUGCACAAUUUUGUGGCAAUGGGGGACUGUAUUUAUGUUUCCCCCAU